RNAcentral lists this ribosomal RNA (301 nucleotides) under uncultured bacterium. RNAcentral describes it as "partial 16S ribosomal RNA". It matches the Rfam family "Bacterial small subunit ribosomal RNA", at positions 509 to 808 of the family's 1533-position model. The record is from RNAcentral.
CAGUCGCCGCGGUAAUACGUAGGGGGCGAGCGUUGUCCGAAGUUACUGGGCGUAAAGCGCGCGUAGGCGGCUUCUUAAGUCUGAGGUGAGAGGUUCAACGUUUAGCGUGAACAGUGCCUUGGAUACUGGGGAGCUUGAGUAUGGGAGAGGGCGGUGGAAUGGCUGGUGUAGCGGUGGAAUGCGUAGAUAUCAGUCGGAACACCCAUGGCGAAGGCAGCUGCCUGGCCUAAUACUGACGCUGAGGUGCGAAAGCGUGGGGAGCGAACGGGAUUAGAUACCCGCGUAGUCCCUGUCUCUUAUA